This 22-nucleotide unclassified non-coding RNA is filed under the name Mus musculus (house mouse). RNAcentral's name for it is "oocyte_clustered_small_RNA1348". The record is from RNAcentral. Lineage: Eukaryota; Metazoa; Chordata; Mammalia; Rodentia; Muridae.
AUCACCUGUUUGGUCGUGUUGU